UCGGAUGUGGCGCACGGCGCACACCCGCUCGCAAUAGCAAAAUAUUCGAAUGUGCUGCAGCGGGAAGCCUGGGUUCGAUUCCCAGCAUCCGAA
Mycena capillaripes is the source of this 93-nucleotide non-coding RNA. The record is from the annotation of a GenBank genome assembly. NCBI's taxonomy places the organism in Eukaryota, Fungi, Basidiomycota, Agaricomycetes, Agaricales, Mycenaceae.